Molecule: long non-coding RNA, 314 nt
Filed under: Mytilus galloprovincialis (Mediterranean mussel)
Lineage: Eukaryota; Metazoa; Mollusca; Bivalvia; Mytilida; Mytilidae
Source: RNAcentral
GAAGAAUUUAUUAUUCACUCUGAUCAUAAAAAUAAUUUUAUAAAUCAAUUUAUUGUUUUUUUCUCAUAUUGGUGAUAAGAAUCCCUGUCUGAGCUUUAAUAAAUCUAGUCCAAAUAAUUAUGAAGUCUUGAAAGGCUAUUAUAUUUUUUUUUUGCUAAGAAGACUUACAAUGCUGUAAGGGGUCAAAGCAAAAAAAUAUAACAGCCUUUCAAGAUGUACGUCAUAAUUAUUUGGACUAAAAUAAAUCCAAAACCCUCUUUUUUUUAUGUUUGGUUGUAGAAUUAUAUAUUUUAUCUAUCUGUUAUUAUCUAUUG